GAACUAACAUCAGCUACCCUAGGGGCCAACUGCCCAGGAAGCCAUAUCACAAACUAUUGGCAUUUGAGAAACCCAGAGUCACUAUUCUCAAUGAAACUCAUUGCCCAGGCUGAAGAGAGGUUGAAAUCUCAACUCCAUGCCAAUUGACUCCAUUUUCAAUAUUUAACACUUUCUCAACUCCCUCAGUUGCCUCUCCUCUCUGACUGGAGUGCUGAAGACAGAACAACAAACUGCCAAAGCCUUCUUUCAUGGAGAUGGAAAUAAGAUCCUUCCAGUCAUUGCCUGUGAUUUACACCUAGCUCCUGUACACCUCUCACCUUGGAAUCCUUCCUCCUAUCUCCCCUUCAAAGGAUGCUUGUUUCAUCUCAGAGAUGCUGGUAGGUUAAUUGCUUGCUCCCCACAUGAAAACAAGCUCCAAAAAAAUGAAUAAAGGACAAGGGACUCAACUGAGUGACAGAAGACAAUACAAGAACUGAUGUCUGACAAAACUGGAAUGACACCUCUGAUAACAGACUGGCACAGUUAGCAUCUUCUUCCCAAGCACUACAAAUUACCCAACUGUGGGGGGGAUGGGCAAGGCAGAAAUAAUCACUACCUGCAAAACAAUUUCACACUAGAAUAAACAGAGAAGAGAUAAAAUAAUAAAUGUAUUU
RNAcentral lists this long non-coding RNA (653 nucleotides) under Monodelphis domestica (gray short-tailed opossum). RNAcentral describes it as "lncRNA (ENSMODG00000045162.1)". The record is from RNAcentral. Lineage: Eukaryota; Metazoa; Chordata; Mammalia; Didelphimorphia; Didelphidae.